Molecule: long non-coding RNA, 729 nt
Filed under: Capsella rubella
Lineage: Eukaryota; Viridiplantae; Streptophyta; Magnoliopsida; Brassicales; Brassicaceae
Description: long non-coding RNA (CRUB_LNC004809)
Source: RNAcentral
UUUUUUUUAUGGGAAUCUCCUGAUAAGUUCAUAAUAAUAACAAGUGAAGACAUUUAAUUUAGCAAGUUAAGCCUCAAUAUCUGAUCAGUUAAGUUUCUGAGAUCCAUAUCUUAGCUCAUGUAGUUGUAGCCGCAAGUAAAUGUUGUUUGUUUUUCAGUACAAUAAUGUUGGCAUUUAGCUUAUUAUACACAGUAUACCUCAAGCUAUUGGCGUGUUUGUUUUAUUUGUUGAACUCUUUGAGAUCCAACUUAGUUCUAUCCACUUUCUUUGUCUCUCUUCUAGCUCAAGGCGAUUACUUAGGUUCAAUGCUUAUAGAUUUUGUACACAAGCUGCUUCAAAAGUGUCACAUGGACUUUAACUGCUCCCUUGAUCAUAACUUUGUUAUAAAGUCUAUUUGUAGGACCAUUGUAACAAGCCUAUGGGUUGAGCAGUGAAUUAUAUAAGCUUUGCCAGUUCAGCAGCAACAGAACUUAUGGUUACGUGAUAGCUCGAGGAUUAAAAGGGUACCUAGGAGAAUGCAUUAGGAUCAUUUCGGAUUUGUCUAGGUCUUGGUUCUCUGGGUAGUGUGUCGAGAGUUUAGGAUAUCCUCUAAUUAAUAGAGUCUCUAGUAUUGUUGUGGUUCUUUGGUGAAUCUAGUGAUGGAGUUUACCGGUUCCAUAAUUACCAGCUUCAUAUACUACCGAACCUACAAUGUCACAUGUAUCUAAAUGGUGUUGUUGUCUUUUCAGG